Non-coding RNA from Ciona savignyi (Pacific transparent sea squirt), 82 nucleotides. The record is from Rfam. NCBI's taxonomy places the organism in Eukaryota, Metazoa, Chordata, Ascidiacea, Phlebobranchia, Cionidae.
GGUAGCAUGGCCGAGCGGUCUAAGGCGCUGGUUUAAGGCACCAGUCAUUUCGAUGGCGUGGGUUCGAAUCCCGCUGCUGCCA